RNAcentral lists this ribosomal RNA (465 nucleotides) under Vreelandella stevensii. RNAcentral describes it as "partial 16S ribosomal RNA". It matches the Rfam family "Bacterial small subunit ribosomal RNA", at positions 338 to 795 of the family's 1533-position model. Lineage: Bacteria; Pseudomonadati; Pseudomonadota; Gammaproteobacteria; Oceanospirillales; Halomonadaceae. The record is from RNAcentral.
CCUACGGGCGGCUGCAGUGGGGAAUAUUGGACAAUGGGGGGAACCCUGAUCCAGCCAUGCCGCGUGUGUGAAGAAGGCCCUCGGGUUGUAAAGCACUUUCAGUGAGGAAGAACGCCUGGUGGUUAAUACCCAUCAGGAAAGACAUCACUCACAGAAGAAGCACCGGCUAACUCCGUGCCAGCAGCCGCGGUAAUACGGAGGGUGCGAGCGUUAAUCGGAAUUACUGGGCGUAAAGCGCGCGUAGGUGGCUUGAUAAGCCGGUUGUGAAAGCCCCGGGCUCAACCUGGGAACGGCAUCCGGAACUGUCAAGCUAGAGUGCAGGAGAGGAAGGUAGAAUUCCCGGUGUAGCGGUGAAAUGCGUAGAGAUCGGGAGGAAUACCAGUGGCGAAGGCGGCCUUCUGGACAGACACUGACACUGAGGUGCGAAAGCGUGGGUAGCAAACAGGAUUAGAUACCCUAGUAGUC